AAGUCGUAACAAGGUUUCCGUAGGUGAACCUGCGGAAGGAUCAUUAACACGUGAACUUUUAUUGCGAACCACGCCUUUGUUAGAAAGUAGCAAUCCCUGGUAAAUCAUCGCCGAACAGUUUUGAUUCAGGGAUCUCUGCGAAGAGAGCGGUUGUAGCGCGAGGUAAGUGGCCUGGCAUUCCUCUGCUUGUUAGUGUCUGACAGUGUCACUAGCUCUGUACGAAUGGCGCAGUCACGAUCGCUGGAGGCCGACACGGCCGGCGACCGGGUCACCGGGCAUAGACCCCCCUAUCACCUUUGCAUGAAAACGGGCCUGCGCUUAAUUGUGCGGCCACCAAACUCGAACAACUGUUAACAAUGGAUAUCUUGGUUCUC
This 374-nucleotide unclassified non-coding RNA is filed under the name fungal sp. Its description in RNAcentral is "partial internal transcribed spacer region". The stretch from base 1 to 46 matches the Rfam family "Eukaryotic small subunit ribosomal RNA", at positions 1786 to 1831 of the family's 1831-position model. Lineage: Eukaryota; Fungi. The record is from RNAcentral.